UACGUAGGGUGCGAGCGUUGUCCGGAAUUAUUGGGCGUAAAGAGCUUGUAGGCGGUCUGUCGCGUCUGCUGUGAAAAUCCGGGGCUCAACCCCGGACUUGCAGUGGGUACGGGCAGACUAGAGUGUGGUAGGGGAGACUGGAAUUCCUGGUGUAGCGGUGAAAUGCGCAGAUAUCAGGAGGAACACCGAUGGCGAAGGCAGGUCUCUGGGCCACUACUGACGCUGAGGAGCGAAAGCGUGGGGAGCAAACAGG
RNAcentral lists this ribosomal RNA (253 nucleotides) under uncultured bacterium. RNAcentral's name for it is "partial 16S ribosomal RNA". It matches the Rfam family "Bacterial small subunit ribosomal RNA", at positions 524 to 776 of the family's 1533-position model. The record is from RNAcentral.